AUUGAACGCUGGCGGCAGGCUUAACACAUGCAAGUCGAGCGGGGUGAUGGUGCUUGCACUAUCACUUAGCGGCGGACGGGUGAGUAAUGCUUAGGAAUCUGCCUAUUAGUGGGGGACAACAUCUCGAAAGGGAUGCUAAUACCGCAUACGUCCUACGGGAGAAAGCAGGGGAUCACUUGUGACCUUGCGCUAAUAGAUGAGUCUAAGUCGGAUUAGCUAGUUGGUGGGGUAAAGGCCUACCAAGGCGACGAUCUGUAGCGGGUCUGAGAGGAUGAUCCGCCACACUGGGACUGGGACACGGCCCAGACUCCUACGGGAGGCAGCAGUGGGGAAUAUUGGACAAUGGGGGGAACCCUGAUCCAGCCAUGCCGCGUGUGUGAAGAAGGCCUUAUGGUUGUAAAGCACUUUAAGCGAGGAGGAGGCUCUUUUGGUUAAUACCCAAGAUGAGUGGACGUUACUCACAGAAUAAGCACCGGCUAACUCUGUGCCAGCAGCCGCCGCCG
This 503-nucleotide ribosomal RNA is filed under the name uncultured bacterium. RNAcentral describes it as "partial 16S ribosomal RNA". It matches the Rfam family "Bacterial small subunit ribosomal RNA", at positions 30 to 523 of the family's 1533-position model. The record is from RNAcentral.